GCACAAAUAAGAUAUUGCCGGCAU
This 24-nucleotide non-coding RNA is filed under the name Rattus norvegicus (Norway rat). Lineage: Eukaryota; Metazoa; Chordata; Mammalia; Rodentia; Muridae. The record is from RNAcentral.